Molecule: long non-coding RNA, 2573 nt
Organism: Xiphophorus hellerii (green swordtail)
Lineage: Eukaryota; Metazoa; Chordata; Actinopteri; Cyprinodontiformes; Poeciliidae
Exons: 3
Source: RefSeq, a predicted model, not a curated record
GCCCCCGGGUAAAUUGAGUUUGAGACCCCUGCUUCAGAUCCAUGAAGAAAAAUGAGGAACCGCACAAGCUGCAGGUUUGAAACAGUCAGAAAGCCGGUUGGCUCUUGUUCGUUAGUUCCAGUUCCUGUUCGUAUUUGACAGCUGGAGAACUUUAAGUACGAUUUCUGGACUCAGAGCUUAUUCUAACAUCUUCCAGUUCAGUUGUUACUAUUUGUUUUCUGUUUCUGUUGCGGUUGCAGCAUGGUCUGUGUUUUUUUUUCUACUGUUGUUGAACCUUACCUUCAAACUAGAAUCUAUUGUUUAAAGCUAAGCUUGCCAUAUGUAUUGAUGUAUAUAUGUGUUGCUAAAACACUUGUCUAUUUUAGAUAUCACUGGGUGUUGGAAAAGAAAAGGCUGAAUUAUUGGAUUAUUCCUGUAGCUGUGCAGCUGGUAAAGGUUUUUGCAAUCAUGUAGUUGCACUUCUUUACCAGACUGCACACUACUCCCAACUCCAGCUGCCAACUGUUCCUCCUGCACAAGUGAUUUACAAAGAUGGCACAGACCAAGAACACAGGGGAAACAUCCUGGACUUGUCAGCGACGUGGUGGUGAGGAAGCCCAAAACUAUGGGGAAAAGAUAUCUGCACUCCACACUUUACAGAGCUUACACAGGAGCACUUCCAGAUCCCGACAUUCUGGCAUCAGGAGAACAACUACGCCAGCUGGAGUCCCAACCACUUAUGGCUCUUGUACUAGAUGGUCUUUCAAGUUUGGAGCUGGUUCCAUCCAAACUUGGGCCUGUGCCACAGGGCUCACAAUGUCUUAUCAAUGCCCACCUGAGAAGUCAUCUGGUAGCAUCAUUUUGCACCACAUGGCUCCAGACUUCCCUUCUCGUCCUUUGAUGCUGCAUAGUCUUCCGAAUAUGUGUUUUGUGCCCAAACUCGGUCAACUUAUGCAUCUUCAGUCUCUGCAAGUGUCACUGGAAAUGUCUUAUGAAAUAGAGGCCAGAACAAGAGAGCAGUCCAUUUGUCCUGCAUGGGUACAACUUUGACAACCAAGACUCACUGCUAGCCGUUUCCGUGAUGCUUGCAGAGGAAGUGCAGAGGAGGAGUCUGCUGCCACAGCACUGGCAUCUCGGAUGAUCAGGGGGUCCGCUAGACAAACUGCCGCCAUGAAGCGUGGUCUGCAGAUGGAGUCUGAGGUGCUGGCAAACUCUGCUGAGAUGUUGAGGGUCAAUGUGCCCCCUGUGGGAUUCAUUGUUCGCCCUGACACAUCAUAUCUUGGUGCAACUCCAGAUGGCAAAGUGUGUGACCCAUCAGAAUCCCCCCCGUUUGGACUGGUUGAGGUAAAAAGCAGCAUGAAGAAUGACGUGUCUCAGGUUGCUCACCUCAAGGUUCAGGAUGGCCAGGCUGUUUUGAGGCAUUCACACGCAAACUACUGGCAGGUAGAGGGUCAGCUGGCAAUCAGCGGAUUGGAAUGGUGCGACUUUGUCACGGACACACUAACAACAGUAACUGUUGAGCGGGUGUGACGUGAUGAGUCUUUGAUUGAUCAAAUGAAAUCUAAACUGGACUUAUUUUACUUCAACACCUUCAUUGAUGUGUUCAUGUCAAUGCAAUAAGAAUUAUAAACUUAAUUAUAACUUAUCCUUUUGUUUCUUUGUAUUUCAAAUAUCCAAUCUCAAGCUGUGUGUAAAUAGUUGUUACUCAUGAAACGUAUACAGAUGUGCAAGUUUCUUUAAAAGGCAGUUGCAUAAUUUACGAAAAUUUGUUUCCUUAACUGCACUUGUCUUGUAACCCGUGUUUUAAAAUAGCUUCUUAAGGUUUUCUUAAGUAUGUGCAACUAUUGUUAGUUAGAUUUGAUAUAUAUUAAUUGAUUUGUUUUCCUUGCAAUUCAACUUAAACAAGAAAAUACAAAAAGAAUAGUACAGUAUGCUGCUCAAGUGUGUUUUAAUUGAAUAUUUUUUUUAAAGUCUAGACAUUUAAAUAACUUUUUACACAGCACUACAACAAUUAACCUACAGAAAUAAUUUAGUCUGCAACACAAAAUGGGCCUUGAUAAUUUGCCAAAACACAACAGUUGUGCCAGAUUUGAUUGACAGUUCCUAUUAAAGUGAGAGGCACCGGAGAAUCCCAGAUGUGGUAGCACUUUACUCUGGCGAUUGCUCGCUCUACAAUGAUUCGCAGUGGAGCAAUGGUCUGGGUCUCCUCUGUCUCUUUGUUGCUGAACUGGCCAGGAUGCCUAAAUGGAGGAAUGGUGAGUUUGGCUCCAACUUCAUGAAGGAGGUCUUGAAUGAGGAAGCCUUUAUCUGCCAUGACUUCGUCUCCCAGCUCAAGCAGAGGAAGGAUUCCACUAACCUUCGUUAUUUCUUUGUCUGAGAUGCAGCCUGUGUACAACGCUGAGACAGUUCAGCUGGUAAUAUAUCACCAAGACUGAAAUCCGCGCUUGGGAGACGGCGGCUCUUGAGGACAAUGGACUGGCACAGCAGGGUGCGAGGACCAACGGUCAAAAGGAAACAUUGUGCCCGAAAACAGAAAAAGGGGAAACGGGCGGCUGGUUGACCCAGCUGAUGAUUAGGACGCCACCAAUUCCAAA